This 2379-nucleotide long non-coding RNA is filed under the name Homo sapiens (human). Its description in RNAcentral is "HSALNT0360885". Lineage: Eukaryota; Metazoa; Chordata; Mammalia; Primates; Hominidae. The record is from RNAcentral.
UGGAGACGGGGUUUCACCGUGUUAGCCAGGAUGGUCUCGAGCUCCUGACCUUGUGAUUCGCCCGCCUCAACCUCCCAAAGUGCCUGGCCUUCAUUUUUAUUUUUGAACUUACCUGCCUCACCUCGUUAUGUCUUUAUCUUAUUUUUAAACUUACUCAGUUCACCCACUGUGGAAUUGGGAGUAUAUGGAAGUAUUCCCACCCCCAGUUUUAUAUACCGCCCCAGAGCUGACCAUUCUCGCUCAUUUCCCCGGGUCCUGGCCGACUCGAGUGUGCCUUUCCUUCCGAUCCUGCUCCACACAGAUCUGAGGGAUGCUGCCCUUUCCUUCUCCACCUGCCCCUCCCUCACAUCCAGCCCCACCAGCCUACACGUUAGCUUAAAUAGGGAGCUUUUACAUUCCCCAUGAAAGGGAAUCCAGGGACAGGCUGAGGCAAGAGACCCCCAGUGUUCAUGAGAUGCCAUCUAGAGAAAACACCGUGGUGCUGAAGGCCUAAGUCAGACCCCGGGGAGAGAGGCACCAGGGUGACUUUGGGUGGAGAGUCCUGUGCCUGUUCUACUUCUAUAAAUAUACUCAGGUCAGGCACGGUGGCUCACGCCUGUAAUCCCAGCACGUUGGGAGGCCGAGGCAGGCGGAUCAUUUGAGGUCAGGAGUUCAAGACUAGCCUGGCCAACAUGGUGAAACCCCAUCUCUACUAAAAAUACAAAAAAAUGGCUGGGCACAGUGGCUCACACCUGUAAUCCCAGCAUGUUGGGAGGCCAAGGCAGGCAGAUCAUUUGCGGUCGGGAGUUCAAGACCAGCCUGACCAACAUGGAGAAACCCCGUCUCUACUAAUAAUACAAAAAUUAGCCAGGCAUGGUGGCACAUGCCUGUAAUCCCAGCUACUCGGGAGACUGAGGCAUAAGAAUCGCUUGAACCCAGGAGGCAGAGGUUGCAGUGAGCCGAGAUCACGCCAUUGAACUCCAGCUGGGCAUAAGAGCAAAACUCCAUCUCAAAAAAAAAAAAAAAAAGGAAGAAAUUGCCACAGCCACCUCAGCCUUCAGCCACCACCACCCUGAUCAGUCAGCAGCCACAAACAAGACCUUCCACCAGCAAAGAGAUCCCAACUUCCUCAAGCCUCAGGUGAUUGCUGGCACUUUCUAUCAGUAUCUUAGUUUUUUGUUUGUUUGUUUUUUAAUUUUUGAGACAGAGUCUCACUCUCUUGCCCAGGCUGGAAUGUAGUGGCACCAUCUCGGCUCACUGCAACCUCCGCCUCCCAGGUUCAAGCGAUUCUCUUACCUUAGCCUCCGGAGGAGCUGGGACUACAAGCACGCACCACCACACCCGGCUGAUUUUUUUCCAUUUUUAGUAGAGACGGGGUUUCACCAUGUUGGCCAGGCUGGUCUCGAACUCCUGGCCUCAGGUGAUCCGCCCACCUUGGCCUCCCACAGUGCUAGGAUUACAGGUGUGAGCCACCACCCCCAGCCAUUUUUUUUUUGAGACGAGGUCUUGCUUUGUUGCCCAGACUAGAGUGCAGUGACAUUAUCUCGGCUCACGGCAACCUCUGCCUCCCAGGCUGAAGCAAUCCUCCCACCUCUGUCUCCCUAGUAGCUGGGACCACAGGUGCACACCCCCACACCCGGCUAAUUUUUUGUAUUUUUGGUAGAGACAGGGUUUCACCAUGUUGCCCAGGCUGGUCUCCUGAGCUCAUGCAAUCUGCCCACUUGACCUCCCAAAGUGCUGGGAUUACAGGUGUGAGCCACUGUGCCCAGCCUAUUAUUAUUAUUAUUUAUUGUUUUUUUGGUCUUGAGGGAGGGUAGGGUGGUGGGAGCCCAGUUGGGGAGGGAGUGAGGAGUGGUCAAUAAAGUAUUUUAAAUUGAGGCAUAUGCAUUGUUUUGUAAACAUAAUGUUAUUGCACACCUGACUGCACUGUGGUAUAAACAUAACUUUUAUAUGCAGUGGAAAACCGAAAAAUCCCUCCGACUGGCUUUAUUGCGACAUUUGUGUUAUUGCGGUGUCUAGAACUGAACCGUGGUAACCCAGGCCCGCCUGUGCUAACUUCCAGCACUACCGAGGUUGACGCAGCUAGAUGGUUUUCUCCCCGGCUGGUUGCUGCUUCUCACCCACAGAGGCGGUGGAGCCCUUGGAACUGGGCAGAACACAGGGCUGCCUUGUCACCACUGCCUGGCUGAACCUGAAAUUGGGCCGUUUGACAGAAAGACUUGAAAGGGCCACCAAGUUUCACUCGUUCCAAAGCGCAAAGGUUGGAGUGCAGUGGCGCAAUCUCGGCUCACUGCAACCGUCACUUCUUGGGUUCAAGCGAUUCUCCUGCAUCAGCCUCCCAAGUAGCUGGAAUUACAGGCAUGUGCUUCCACGCCCGGCUAAUUUUUGUAUUUUUAGUAG